AAGGCUUCGAAGAUCAGUAGCAGGAGGCGCCGAGGAGCAAGACAAGUAGCAGCGGUAACCCAUAACGGUGAUGGGCAUCGGCGAGAAGUAGCUACUGCCCAAGUGGAAGCGCGUGCACCUGCCGGAGAAUGCAUCAGUGCCGCCUGGUGUUGGACAUGGUCUGCGCCUCCAUAUGUAUGAACCGCUUGGCGUUCAUGGGGUAGCCAAACAUGCCUUCGAUUGUUGCUUCCGACAAAAUGGACAACUUCCUACCAUGGUUUGAUGACAGGUAAUCAAGUGGAUGGCCUGUUUUGGGUUCAGGAGUAACCGCAAGAUUGCCAUCUAUUGUGAAACAAGUGUAAAGAUAAUUCCAAUAAUAAUUGGGUGUAGACUUUCUGGUGAUGUGAUUUCAAUUAAAAAUGCACACUUUCGUUAGUGAUCUUCUAACAAG
This 430-nucleotide long non-coding RNA is filed under the name Hordeum vulgare. RNAcentral's name for it is "long non-coding RNA (HVUL_LNC001788)". Lineage: Eukaryota; Viridiplantae; Streptophyta; Magnoliopsida; Poales; Poaceae. The record is from RNAcentral.